GGCGGGGUAGCUCAGCUGGUUAGAGCGGCGGAAUCAUAAUCCGUAGGUCGCUGGUUCGAUCCCAGUCCCCGCUACCA
RNAcentral lists this transfer RNA (77 nucleotides) under Pseudolabrys sp. RNAcentral's name for it is "tRNA-Met". It matches the Rfam family "tRNA". Rfam says of the family: Transfer RNA (tRNA) molecules are approximately 80 nucleotides in length. The record is from RNAcentral. Lineage: Bacteria; Pseudomonadati; Pseudomonadota; Alphaproteobacteria; Hyphomicrobiales; Xanthobacteraceae. RNAcentral also lists the same sequence under 2 other names.